This 394-nucleotide long non-coding RNA is filed under the name Chinchilla lanigera (long-tailed chinchilla). RNAcentral's name for it is "lncRNA (ENSCLAG00000028815.1)". The record is from RNAcentral. Lineage: Eukaryota; Metazoa; Chordata; Mammalia; Rodentia; Chinchillidae.
UCUGUGCUCCAUCUGCUUUAAACUGCUCCUCAUCAGCUCCCAAUGGGAAAUAGCAGUGUGACGAGGUCUCACUAUAAAAGGACUAAAAAUCCAACAAGAACAUACAGUUGUAUCACAGAAGCAAAGGAACUAACUCAAUGUUUCAACAUAAAAGAGAAAACGUUCGUCUACCUCUGGCCUAGGGUUGCUGGGCCAGGGACACUGUGCACACCCCUCUAUUGCAGUCCUGUGGGACAUCUUGGAAAAGCUGCCUGUCCCCUCACAGAGAAGCAGAGGAGAACUAUGAAGAAGGAUGCUCUGAGCACAGGCUGGGCCCUUGGAACUAUUUUUAGUUAAGGCACCAGCCAGUUGGACAGUAAUGUAUACAGAAACUGACAGUAUGGUGGAAAUGAAU